RNAcentral lists this ribosomal RNA (253 nucleotides) under uncultured bacterium. Its description in RNAcentral is "partial 16S ribosomal RNA". It matches the Rfam family "Bacterial small subunit ribosomal RNA", at positions 524 to 776 of the family's 1533-position model. The record is from RNAcentral.
UACGUAGGGGGCGAGCGUUGUCCGGAUUUAUUGGGCGUAAAGAGCGUGUAGGCGGUUCGGUAAGUCUGUCGUGAAAUCCUGAGGCUCAACCUCGGGCGUGCGAUGGAUACUGCCGGGCUAGAGGGUGGUAGAGGCGAGUGGAAUUCCCGGUGUAGCGGUGAAAUGCGCAGAUAUCGGGAGGAACACCAGUAGCGAGGGCGGCUCGCUGGGCCACACCUGACGCUGAGACGCGAAAGCUAGGGGAGCGAACAGG